UCACACCACUAGGGGAGUCUUUUUUAAGACUGAGAUGGAAUUAGUUCCGGACCCUUUGAACCUGAACCGGCUCAUACCGGCGGAGGGAAGUGGAUGAUAUCGUCC
This 105-nucleotide non-coding RNA is filed under the name Peribacillus simplex. Its description in RNAcentral is "Bacillus simplex TPP". It matches the Rfam family "TPP riboswitch aptamer (THI element)". Rfam says of the family: Vitamin B(1) in its active form thiamin pyrophosphate (TPP) is an essential coenzyme that is synthesised by coupling of pyrimidine and thiazole moieties in bacteria. Lineage: Bacteria; Bacillati; Bacillota; Bacilli; Caryophanales; Bacillaceae. The record is from RNAcentral.